GUACUCGUUUUAGCAGCACACAUACUAAAAUCGGAACAAGGCCGAGAUGACCACAGCCCUGCACAAAGAUGACACACACAUUCCUGAAGCAUUCUAUAUUUUU
Molecule: small nuclear RNA, 103 nt
Organism: Molossus molossus (Pallas's mastiff bat)
Lineage: Eukaryota; Metazoa; Chordata; Mammalia; Chiroptera; Molossidae
Source: RefSeq, a predicted model, not a curated record